Molecule: long non-coding RNA, 245 nt
Organism: Xiphophorus maculatus (southern platyfish)
Lineage: Eukaryota; Metazoa; Chordata; Actinopteri; Cyprinodontiformes; Poeciliidae
Exons: 3
Source: RefSeq, a predicted model, not a curated record
CCCGUUUGAGAAUCUGGACUCUUCAGAACUCACUUCACAAAACCCAGUGAUCAGCAGUCUUCAGUUUCAAAGAGUUUCCAGUACAGAUUUACACAAAACUGCAGGACGUCCUUCAACCACAUCAGCAGCAUCCAAACCAAUCAGCCUAUCAGCUCUUCCUCUGAUUUUCGGUGGAGUUGCCACGGCGACUGGCGUCUCAAUAGCCGCUUUUCUAAUUCUGCUUUACAAAUGGAGGACGAGAGCCA